GCGUAGCUUAACACAAAGCAUAGCACUGAAAAUGCUAAGAUGAGUCCUAAAAAACCCCGCACGCA
RNAcentral lists this transfer RNA (65 nucleotides) under Rasbora lacrimula. Its description in RNAcentral is "tRNA-Phe". It matches the Rfam family "tRNA". From Rfam's summary of the family: Transfer RNA (tRNA) molecules are approximately 80 nucleotides in length. Their secondary structure includes four short double-helical elements and three loops (D, anti-codon, and T loops). Further hydrogen bonds mediate the characteristic L-shaped molecular structure. tRNAs have two regions of fundamental functional importance: the anti-codon, which is responsible for specific mRNA codon recognition, and the 3' end, to which the tRNAs corresponding amino acid is attached (by aminoacyl-tRNA synthetases). tRNAs cope with the degeneracy of the genetic code in two manners: having more than one tRNA (with a specific anti-codon) for a particular amino acid; and 'wobble' base-pairing, i.e. permitting non-standard base-pairing at the 3rd anti-codon position. The record is from RNAcentral. Lineage: Eukaryota; Metazoa; Chordata; Actinopteri; Cypriniformes; Danionidae.